RNAcentral lists this ribosomal RNA (430 nucleotides) under uncultured bacterium. RNAcentral's name for it is "partial 16S ribosomal RNA". It matches the Rfam family "Bacterial small subunit ribosomal RNA", at positions 29 to 506 of the family's 1533-position model. The record is from RNAcentral.
AACGAACGCUGGCGGCAGGCUUAACACAUGCAAGUCGAGCGCCCCGCCAGGGGAGCGGCCGACGGGUGAGUAACGCGUGGGAACGUACCUUUUGGUUCGGAACAACUCCGGGAAACUGGAGCUAAUACCGGAUAAGCCCUAACGGGGAAAGAUUUAUCGCCGAAAGAUCGGCCCGCGUCUGAUUAGCUAGUUGGUGAGGUAACGGCUCACCAAGGCGACGAUCAGUAGCUGGUCUGAGAGGAUGAUCAGCCACACUGGGACUGAGACACGGCCCAGACUCCUACGGGAGGCAGCAGUGGGGAAUAUUGGACAAUGGGCGCAAGCCUGAUCCAGCCAUGCCGCGUGAGUGAUGAAGGCCUUAGGGUUGUAAAGCUCUUUUGUCCGGGAAGAUAAUGACUGGACCGGAAGAAUAAGCCCCGGCUAACUUCGU